CAGCAGCCGCGGGAAUACGUAGGUGGCAAGCGUUGUCCGGAAUUCUUGGGCGUAAAGGGCUCGCAGGCGGUUUCUUAAGUCUGAUGUGAAAGCCCCCGGCUCAACCGGGGAGGGUCAUUGGAAGCUGGGAAACUUGAGUGCAGAAGAGGAGAGUGGAAUUCCACGUGUAGCGGUGAAAUGCGUAGAGAUGUGGAGGAACACCAGUGGCGAAGGCGACUCUCUGGUCUGUAACUGACGCUGAGGAGCGAAAGCGUGGGGAGCGAACAGGAUUAGAUACCCCGGUAGUCCCUGUCUCUUAUAA
RNAcentral lists this ribosomal RNA (301 nucleotides) under uncultured bacterium. Its description in RNAcentral is "partial 16S ribosomal RNA". It matches the Rfam family "Bacterial small subunit ribosomal RNA", at positions 509 to 809 of the family's 1533-position model. The record is from RNAcentral.